AAAAAACAGACAGAACAUAAUAAUUACUGACAGCGCAGGGAAGACAGUACAUAUCUGAAGUUAUUAAAAACAGGAAUCAGAGAAGAAAAAAAUCAAAAUAUGUCAGGGCAAAGAGACUCUGAUACAAGUAGAAAGGAUACUGAUGUAAUGGCCUAAUUUUUAAAAUUUGCUUUUCCAUUCCUCUCCAAUCUGUAGAUUGCAAAAUAAAAUUUCAGUUACAUCUGAGAAUGCACUUGCUUCCUAGAAAAGCAUAUGAUGGUAAGAACUACAUAUUCUAUGCUGUAUGUAUCAGCAGCUUAAAGACUAGCUGUCAAGGAGUCCUGAAAUACUUCUAAUUUCCACACAACCUGCAGACAGACUUCCUCCCAAGAAAAGGAUUUCCAUAUUUCUUAUCAAAGGAACUGUCUUCUAUUGGAUGUCCAGCAUAUCUUUGUCCAACCCAACUAAAGCUCUGCAGGCUAUUUACUACAUACAGCUUUUAUAUAAUGAAAAGUUAUGAGUUUCAGCCUCCUAAAGAAAGCAAGAAUAAAAUAGGUGUAUGGUGUAUUUAUUACAUUUAACCCUAUUCUUCCCUAAGAGCUGCCCUGUGAGCUUUCGUUAGAAAGAGUCCUACAGAUACUAUUAAUAUGAAAGAAGGGAAGAGACUGGCACCUUACACAGAGCAGAGAUCAGAAAUUAAGAUGUUACUGAAUCUUUAAAUCCAUUAUUACCAUGAAUAUUUUCAGUGCUUUCUUUCCGAAGUGGUAGCCUUACUCCUGUUUUGAAUUCCCCGAGUAUUUUAAAUGGCUGAAGAUAUUCUCAUCAGAUACAAAUGAAUGCAAUUGUUUAGUCAUGCUUCCAACCUUCUUGUAGCUGUUGCUUAUUUCAAUACCUCUAUUUUUUCUUUAAUCUUUUAGCUUUUUUAAGAGCCAAAAAGUAAGUCUUAAUGACACCAAUGAUGUUAUUAAAAACAACUGAACGUUUAAAAAUACUUAUAAAACUCACUCCAUAGUCCAGUGGCUGAUACGUUCAUUGUAGACAUGGAACAAAGGGUUUGCAAUUCUAACUUUAAUACAUUUUUCUUACACAAGAAAACAAGAAACAUGAAAUUUAUUAUUAAAAACUCUAAGGGUGUUUGACAAUUUUCUAGGCGACUGAGAUAAUGGAUUUUGUCAGUGUUUCAAUGAAGACAAAGACACCUUCUUCAGGAAUACAUUCUACUGCUUUUUUAUGAAUGUUCUGUAGUCUGCAGCAUGUAGAGUAUCUGGAGGUGAUACUUGCUCUCUCUACAGUUUCCCAAGGUGUAUGGGAACUGUUGAGUCACAGCAUGAACCACCAAUUGAGCACCUGGAGACAAGACCUGGCCAGCCCUAGGAGCACAGGUGAAGGCAAUUCACCUGUGUGACUGGAAGGGGUGGAGCCUGGCUCCACCUCUCUUAGACCUCAUUUAAGGGCUGACUGCCCCUGAGGAAGAAUCUCUUAUUGGAGAUUCCUCCUCUGGGGAGUUUCUUCUGCAAGCCUAGAUCCCUAGAGACAGCUACUUCUACAGGUUACAAAAGGAAGCUCCAACAGACAAAGUGCUGUACUUCAGAAGCUUGCUUUCCCUGCUCAACCUCCCUAACUUGUGGGCUUGCACCUGAGGAAUACAGAUUAGCAGGCAAGACAGACUAACUUCACUUUCCACCCUUCCAGUCUGGUAUACGCUUAAAGCAAUGCAGGAGAAGAAGGGAGUGGAUCCCUCUAAAAGACUACACCAAAACAGCUUCAAAUGUUUAGUUUGUGUUAUUUACUUCAACAAGCAUUCCCCCUAUUCUUGGUGGGAUAAUUAAAUUCAAGUCUAUACAGUCUAUCCAUUGCUGAAUCAGACCUUGGUUCUUAGGUAAUACAACAGCCUCACAAUUAUUUUUCUUCUAAUGCCACUAUAUGUGAAAAUAACCACCUGCAGUGAAGAGUUUUGAAUCAUCUUGAAGUCACAGAUGUAAGUGCACCAAGUAUUUAAAGAGUACUGGACGUAGGGGGAGAAACAGAACUACCACACCAGGAUGGAGAUGUAGGAUCAGGCAUUCCUGCUCUCAUCUACAAGAUGAAACAUCAGUUGAAUCAAACCUCUCCAGUGGUAUUAAGCCAUUUUCAGAAAAUAAUAUUUAUGACUUGUCACUUCUCCAACAUCUCCAGGACUGUCCUGAUGUCUAUGACAAUUAUUACCCACAAGGGAAAAAAAAAAAUCAUACUCAGAACUGACAGUUGAGAGUAAACUAAUGUUCAAAACCAAACUAAACUCAAGUUACUCGCAUGUGCAGCUACCGCAGUAGCCUUUAAUGCACUGCACAGGAUAGUUCAAUUUCUAGGUGCAGAGAGUGAGCUCUCAAAACGCAGCUCAGCAACAAAUAUGGGAUGUGUACAGUAGAGUGCAGCACAGCGUUAAUUGCUAGGUAUGGUCAGCAGGAGGAACUGGUAUUCAGAAGCACUUUCUGCUUCCCCAGUCAAGAACAGAACUGAAGACAAAGCAUGAAAACGCUUAUCUGCUACUAACUAUAGAGCGAUAUGUUACUUUGGAUCAGUGAAUUUUACCAGAACUGUGGACUGAAGAUGCAAGUGAAAGAAUGAGGAAGAGUAACAACUACUAACAAAGUUUUCAACACCUUGCCAGUAUCACUUAUUGAAGCCUCAUGCUGCCGACUAAAUCCAGUUAUGUCACUUACCAUAAACAUGUCUAAAACUAAGACACACAAAAUGGUAUCAUGAGCAUUUCAACACAAUGUUCUUAUGCUUUUUGAAGUACCAUUAUUUGUUUCUUCUGUCACAGGCAUUACUCAUAAUAGAAUUGCCAGAUUAGAAUGACAGAAGGAUUUGUAAUUGCUUUGAAUGACACAGAACAUACAAGCACUAAUAAAAAUUGUAAAUGAAGACUGAAAGAUUGCUAGAGUUGAUUCAAUUAAAUGUUGCCAAGGAGAGAUCUGUGUUCAGAAUCAAGUCAUACUUAGUUACCUCGCAGAAAAAAAUAGUUAAUAUUUUUAUUAAAUUGCAUCACAUGUAAACUAAACACAGUGGAAAGAAAUGAGGAUGAACGGUAUUCACACGUUCCUCUGAAAGUAAUGAGCCUCAAAAGUUCUUUCUUGAUCCACUGCUAACAGAUUACAUACAGUGACUCCACAAGAAGAAGAAAAAGGUACUUAGAAGGCCCAAAGGAACUUGAAAUUAAAAAACAGAGUCUGCAUAUGGGGAUCACUACAUUUGUUAGUGUCAGAGCAGAAGCAGUAAAUGGCAUAAGCAGAACAAGGUAUACUGAGAACUACAAACUAGUCUAGCUUAAGGUUUUGACGUUUGUUUUAGAAACUAAGACGACAUUGUACGAGAGGUUUAAUCAAGCCCCAAACCUAAUGACUGUACUUAACUCAUUACAUUGCUCACAAGGUGACACGAAUAUGAAAAUAAACUCAGCAUGAACAUGAAAAGCAUAUGGUCAAAUGCACUGACGCAGCACAACGAGUGGGUGUGCUCAGCCGGCGCUGAAUCGUGGUCAUUAUCACUCCAUCUUUAAUAUUUUCCUUCAACACGAUGCAAAAGGCAUAAACCCAUAAAAUGGAAUCAGCACACACGAAAAUUACAGAAGGGUUUUGUUUUUUUUUUUUAAGCAUGGCAGAGAGCAAGUACUGCUGCAGUCCUGAAGAAAUUCCCUUCUUGGUUUUGUUUUAUAAAACUCAUAUUGCGAAGAUCAGCCUAGCCCUUUUACCUUGUCAAGAUGGCAAUCGAGUUAUUGUUACCUUAAAGAAGUCUCGAUCUCUUUGCCAUGCAUGCACGCAGGCGCAGACCAGGUUAAC
This is a long non-coding RNA of Numida meleagris (helmeted guineafowl), 3800 nucleotides long. RefSeq lists it as uncharacterized. The record is from RefSeq and is a predicted model, not a curated record. NCBI's taxonomy places the organism in Eukaryota, Metazoa, Chordata, Aves, Galliformes, Numididae. The transcript is spliced from 2 exons.